CGCGUAAAGAACUUGCCUCACAGAUAGGGACAACAUUUGGAAACGAAUGCUAAUACCUGAUGUUAUGAUUUUAGGGCAUCCUAGGAUUAUGAAAGCUAUAUGCGCUGUGAGAGAGCUUUGCGUCCCAUUAGCUAGUUGGAGAGGUAACGGCUCACCAAGGCGAUGAUGGGUAGCCGGCCUGAGAGGGUGAUCGGCCACAAGGGGACUGAGACACGGCCCUU
RNAcentral lists this ribosomal RNA (221 nucleotides) under uncultured bacterium. RNAcentral describes it as "partial 16S ribosomal RNA". It matches the Rfam family "Bacterial small subunit ribosomal RNA", at positions 114 to 334 of the family's 1533-position model. The record is from RNAcentral.